This 444-nucleotide ribosomal RNA is filed under the name uncultured bacterium. Its description in RNAcentral is "bacterial SSU rRNA". It matches the Rfam family "Bacterial small subunit ribosomal RNA", at positions 331 to 792 of the family's 1533-position model. The record is from RNAcentral.
CCAGACUCCUACGGGAGGCAGCAGUGGGGAAUAUUGCACAAUGGGGGAAACCCUGAUGCAGCAACGCCGCGUGAGUGAAGAAGUAUUUCGGUAUGUAAAGCUCUAUCAGCAGGGAAGAGAAUGACGGUACCUGACUAAGAAGCCCCGGCUAACUACGUGCCAGCAGCCGCGGUAAUACGUAGGGGGCGAGCGUUAUCCGGAUUUACUGGGUGUAAAGGGAGCGUAGACGGUUCUGCAAGUCUGAAGUGAAAGCCCGUGGCUUAACCGCGGAACGGCUUUGGAAACUGUGGAACUGGAGUGCUGGAGAGGCAAGCGGAAUUCCUAGUGUAGCGGUGAAAUGCGUAGAUAUUAGGAGGAACACCAGUGGCGAAGGCGGCUUGCUGGACAGUAACUGACGUUGAGGCUCGAAAGCGUGGGGAGCAAACAGGAUUAGAUACCCCAGUA